AAUGGGCGCAAGCCUGACCCAGCCAUGCCGCGUGCAGGAUGACGCCCUAUGGGUUGUAAACUGCUUUUAUAUAGGAAGAAAAUACUCUUGCGAGAGAAACUGACGGUACUAUAUGAAUAAGGACCGGCUAACUCCGUGCCAGCAGCCGCGGUAAUACGGAGGGUUCAAGCGUUUUCCGGAUUUAUUGGGUUUAAAGAGUGCGUAGGUGGUUUAUUAAGUCAGUGGUGAAAUCCUGCAGCUCAACUGUAGAACUGCCAUUGAUACUGGUAAACUUGAGUUUGGUUUAGGUAAGCGGAAUUUAUGAUGUAGCGGUGAAAUGCAUAGAUAUCAUAAGGAACACCAAUAGCGAAGGCAGCUUACUGGACCACAACUGACACUGAGGCACGAAAGCGUGGGUAGCGAACAGGAUU
Molecule: ribosomal RNA, 410 nt
Filed under: uncultured Gammaproteobacteria bacterium
Lineage: Bacteria; Pseudomonadati; Pseudomonadota; Gammaproteobacteria
Description: bacterial SSU rRNA
Rfam family: Bacterial small subunit ribosomal RNA
Source: RNAcentral